GGAUGGUUUCAGAUAUCCGAUCCAUCUGAAAUCUUAAUAGGAUCCAUUUAGUAUAUUUUAUUGGAUUUGGGAUGGAUUUGAAAUUUACAACUAAAAUUGAAAUAGAUUUAGGAUGAGUUUGAGAUUUUUCUUUUGAAUAUCCAUUAUCCGAAUCUAGUAAUCUACAAUAAGUGAGACAAACCCCUGGUCAUCGUAUAUGCUUCUUUAUCCGAUCACUACUCCAAAUCUCCCACCCAAUUAAGACUGAAAAAAGCAAAAGAAAUCGGGAGAGCAAAUGAAAGAAAAAUCUAAAAAAACCAAUAAAAGAUGUGAAAAUUAAAAUAUAAAAUAUUUUUUCUCAUAAAUUAUUUUUUUUUAUUAUUUUUUUCUCUUUUUAUAUCAUUCUCUUGUUCGGAGAUAAAGAGAGCACCCAAGGGAUAUCAGAGGGGUUUCUUAGGCUCCAAUUGGGAAUUUUUCUCAUGCAUAUGAGAUUUUGUACAAGUGGUGGCGUGCAUUACUUUCUUGGGAUUUUCAGAGAAUAAUCUUGAUAGAAGCAUAAUACCACCUUUUUAAUAUGUCAUGUGGAUGCAUGAAUGAAGCCUUUCUCACGCUGUCAAUCUGUGUCAUGGUAGCUUGCACCAGCCGCCAUAGACCCAAAGAGAUAAGGACUCAAUGGAUAAUUAGGCAGGUUUGGGUAUCCGAUGGGUAUAUCACUUUUAAAUGGGAUGGAUUUGAGAUUUUUGAUUUGUAAUUGGAUUUAGGACAGAUUUGGAUAGUAAUAUUUUAAACGGGUUCGGAUGUGGGUAGGAUAAAUUUUAUAGAUAUCCCAUCCGUUGCCACCCCUACCACAAUGCACCACUAUAUGGCUCUUAACUGCUAUCAUCACUACAUAUUUUAAUAUAUUUUAUAAAAUAAAGUAUAAAAUGUUGCAACUCUUUUUUCUGAACACAAUAAACAGAUGUAACUAUCAAAUAUCCUUUUAGCUUUGAAAAUCUAAAACA
Molecule: long non-coding RNA, 980 nt
Filed under: Elaeis guineensis (African oil palm)
Lineage: Eukaryota; Viridiplantae; Streptophyta; Magnoliopsida; Arecales; Arecaceae
Description: long non-coding RNA (EGUI_LNC026586)
Source: RNAcentral